Molecule: ribosomal RNA, 73 nt
Filed under: Megamonas funiformis
Lineage: Bacteria; Bacillati; Bacillota; Negativicutes; Selenomonadales; Selenomonadaceae
Description: partial 16S ribosomal RNA
Rfam family: Bacterial small subunit ribosomal RNA (bases 1-65)
Source: RNAcentral
CGAUGAUUGGGGUGAAGUCGUAACAAGGUAGCCGUAUCGGAAGGUGCGGCUGGAUCACCUCCUUUCUAAGGAG